GGCUGAAAUUACGCCUUCAUGAAGCUGGAAUUGCUAGUAAUGGCAGGUCAGCAUACUGCCGUGAAUACGUUCCCGGGCCUUGUACACACCGCCCGUCACACCAUGAGAGUUGGGAAUACCCGAAGCCUGUGAGCUAACUUAUAGAGGCAGCAGUCGAAGGUAGAAUCAAUGAUUGGGGUGAAGUCGUAACAAGGUAUC
Molecule: ribosomal RNA, 198 nt
Filed under: uncultured bacterium
Lineage: Bacteria
Description: partial 16S ribosomal RNA
Rfam family: Bacterial small subunit ribosomal RNA
Source: RNAcentral